UACGAAGGGGGCUAGCGUUGCUCGGAAUCACUGGGCGUAAAGCGCACGUAGGCGGCUUUCUAAGUCAGGGGUGAAAUCCUGGAGCUCAACUCCAGAACUGCCUUUGAUACUGGAGAGCUUGAGUCCGGGAGAGGUGAGUGGAACUCCGAGUGUAGAGGUGAAAUUCGUAGAUAUUCGCAAGAACACCAGUGGCGAAGGCGGCUCACUGGCCCGAUACUGACGCUGAGGCACGAAAGCGUGGGGAGCAAACAGG
Molecule: ribosomal RNA, 253 nt
Filed under: uncultured bacterium
Lineage: Bacteria
Description: partial 16S ribosomal RNA
Rfam family: Bacterial small subunit ribosomal RNA
Source: RNAcentral